GACGAACGCUGGCGGCGUGCUUAACACAUGCAAGUCGAACGGAAAGGCCCUGCUUUUGUGGGGUGCUCGAGUGGCGAACGGGUGAGUAACACGUGAGUAACCUGCCCUUGACUUUGGGAUAACUUCAGGAAACUGGGGCUAAUACCGGAUAGGAGCUCCUGCUGCAUGGUGGGGGUUGGAAAGUUUCGGCGGUUGGGGAUGGACUCGCGGCUUAUCAGCUUGUUGGUGGGGUAGUGGCUUACCAAGGCUUUGACGGGUAGCCGGCCUGAGAGGGUGACCGGCCACAUUGGGACUGAGAUACGGCCCAGACUCCUACGGGAGGCAGCAGUGGGGAAUAUUGCACAAUGGGCGGAAGCCUGAUGCAGCAACGCCGCGUGCGGGAUGACGGCCUUCGGGUUGUAAACCGCUUUCGCCUGUGACGAAGCGUGAGUGACGGUAAUGGGUAAAGAAGCACCGGCUAGCUACGUGCCAGCAGCCGCGGUGAUACGUAGGGUGCGAGCGUUGUCCGGAUUUAUUGGGCGUAAAGGGCUCGUAGGUGGUUGAUCGCGUCGGAAGUGUAAUCUUGGGGCUUAACCCUGAGCGUGCUUUCGAUACGGGUUGACUUGAGGAAGGUAGGGGAGAAUGGAAUUCCUGGUGGAGCGGUGGAAUGCGCAGAUAUCAGGAGGAACACCAGUGGCGAAGGCGGUUCUCUGGGCCUUUCCUGACGCUGAGGAGCGAAAGCGUGGGGAGCGAACAGGCUUAGAUACCCUGGUAGUCCGCGCUGUAAACGGUGGGUACUAGGUGUGGGGUCCAUUCCACGGGUUCCGUGCCGUAGCUAACGCUUUAAGUACCCCGCCUGGGGAGUACGGCCGCAAGGCUAAGACUCAAAGGAAUUGACGGGGCCCAGCACAAGCGGCGGAGCAUGCGGAUUAAUUCGAUGCAACGCGUAGAACCUUACCUGGGUUUGACAUGGAUCGGGAGCGCUCAGAGAUGGGUGUGCCUCUUUUGGGGUCGGUUCACAGGUGGUGCAUGGCUGUCGUCAGCUCGUGUCGUGAGAUGUUGGGUUAAGUCCCGCAACGAGCGCAACCCUUGUUCACUGUUGCCAGCACGUUAUGGUGGGGACUCAGUGGAGACCGCCGGGGUCAACUCGGAGGAAGGUGGGGAUGACGUCAAGUCAUCAUGCCCCUUAUGUCCAGGGCUUCACGCAUGCUACAAUGGCUGGUACAGAGAGUGGCGAGCCUGUGAGGGUGAGCGAAUCUCGGAAAGCCAGUCUCAGUUCGGAUUGGGGUCUGCAACUCGACCUCAUGAAGUCGGAGUCGCUAGUAAUCGCAGAUCAGCAACGCUGCGGUGAAUACGUUCCCGGG
RNAcentral lists this ribosomal RNA (1343 nucleotides) under uncultured bacterium. Its description in RNAcentral is "16S ribosomal RNA". It matches the Rfam family "Bacterial small subunit ribosomal RNA", at positions 28 to 1378 of the family's 1533-position model. The record is from RNAcentral.